GCUGACCAGUUCUCUGGUGGUUACUGCUACUGAUCCAUCCAAACUGCUGGACUUCUUCAUACCCAAGGUCUUCAGGCAGUAUCUAAUGGGAAGUCAACUUAAAGGAACCAGACCAUCAUUUCCCAGCCUGCCCUUUUAUUCUGUAGCUACCUCUAUGUGAGGAAAGGAUAGAAAACAUUCAAGACAUCAUACGGGCUUACGAUCUACAGAUUCCAACCAGUAGCAGUGGCUGACUCCUACAUAGAAGACUGGGAACUACAAACAGGCUGGGGUCACCUCAGUGACAUCUGACGCUGUCCAACCAGAAGUCUGACUUGUGUGUUGCAGGAAUUGAAGAAUGUACUAAAAGACUAAAAUAUUUCGUCUCUAU
Molecule: long non-coding RNA, 370 nt
Filed under: Rattus norvegicus (Norway rat)
Lineage: Eukaryota; Metazoa; Chordata; Mammalia; Rodentia; Muridae
Description: long non-coding RNA NONRATT005831
Source: RNAcentral